UNGUAGAUGUGCGACGCUUCUUAGUUGA
This 28-nucleotide non-coding RNA is filed under the name Rattus norvegicus (Norway rat). Lineage: Eukaryota; Metazoa; Chordata; Mammalia; Rodentia; Muridae. The record is from RNAcentral.